GAUGAACGCUGGCGGCGUGCCUAAUACAUGCAAGUCGAGCGAACAGACGAGGAGCUUGCUCCUCUGACGUUAGCGGCGGACGGGUGAGUAACACGUGGAUAACCUACCUAUAAGACUGGGAUAACUUCGGGAAACCGGAGCUAAUACCGGAUAAUAUAUUGAACCGCAUGGUUCAAUAGUGAAAGACGGUUUUGCUGUCACUUAUAGAUGGAUCCGCGCCGCAUUAGCUAGUUGGUAAGGUAACGGCUUACCAAGGCAACGAUGCGUAGCCGACCUGAGAGGGUGGUCGGCCACACUGGAACUGGGACACGGUCCAGACUCCUACGGGAGGCAGCAGUAGGGAAUCUUCCGCAGUGGGCGAAAGCCUGACGGAGCAACGCCGCGUGAGUGAUGAAGGUCUUCGGAUCGUAAAACUCUGUUAUUAGGGAAGAACAAAUGUGUAAGUAACUAUGCACGUCUUGACGGUACCUAAUCAGAAAGCCACGGCUAACUACGUG
RNAcentral lists this ribosomal RNA (497 nucleotides) under uncultured bacterium. RNAcentral describes it as "partial 16S ribosomal RNA". It matches the Rfam family "Bacterial small subunit ribosomal RNA", at positions 28 to 507 of the family's 1533-position model. The record is from RNAcentral.